CCAAAAUAUAAUUUAUUUGCAAUGUUUAUUUUCCUUACAAGCAGAGAGCUUCAAAGUAUCGACAAAAUUUUACCACUAACGUAAAGUAGAAUGUGUCACGAAAAAACAAUCUCGGAAUCAGAAUGAAAGGAAGAGGGGCAUUCAGACCCCUCAGAAACCAAGCCUUAGUGCAUAGGGUUAAUAGCCAGGAUGAUUACUUCCUGAUGCAGAUCAGCAACCCCAGAAAACCAGAGACAACAGUAAUUUUGUAUGCUGUUAAAAAUUAAAUAUUGGGGUGAAAAUCACUGAAAAAUUGGGGGACCACCAUCACAUACAGUGCCUAUUUGACGUUCCCUUGCCGUUUCCCUUUCAACUAUUCCAACCAAUAAAUGACUGCCGAGGAUCAAAGAGGUGAAAUCUUUCUAAAGAUGAGAGUUCCAGAAAGCAUUUAUAUAAUGUGUAUAAACCCAAAAUAUGUUACAAUAUUUACAUUGUAUGUCUAAAUAAUGAUAUAAUAAGCCAGUAUGUAUAAACACU
Hyla sarda is the source of this 516-nucleotide long non-coding RNA. RefSeq lists it as uncharacterized. NCBI's taxonomy places the organism in Eukaryota, Metazoa, Chordata, Amphibia, Anura, Hylidae. The transcript has 4 exons. The record is from RefSeq and is a predicted model, not a curated record.